AGCGGCGGACGGGUGAGUAACACGUGGGUAACCUGCCUUUAAGACUGGGAUAACAUUCGGAAACGGAUGCUAAUACCGGAUAGGCGAUUUGGUCGCAUGAUCGAAUCGAGAAAGAUGGAGCAAUCUAUCACUUAGAGAUGGACCCGCGGCGCAUUAGCUAGUUGGUGAGGUAACGGCUCACCAAGGCGACGAUGCGUAGCCGACCUGAGAGGGUGAUCGGCCACACUGGGACUGAGACACGGCCCAGACUCCUACGGGAGGCAGCAGUAGGGAAUCUUCCGCAAUGGACGAAAGUCUGACGGAGCAACGCCGCGUGAGUGAUGAAGGUUUUCGGAUCGUAAAGCUCUGUUGCCAGGGAAGAACGCUUGGGAUAGUAACUGCUCCCAAGGUGACGGUACCUGAGAAGAAAGCCCCGGCUAACU
RNAcentral lists this ribosomal RNA (422 nucleotides) under Paenibacillaceae bacterium CL5.141. RNAcentral describes it as "bacterial SSU rRNA". It matches the Rfam family "Bacterial small subunit ribosomal RNA", at positions 94 to 502 of the family's 1533-position model. The record is from RNAcentral. Lineage: Bacteria; Bacillati; Bacillota; Bacilli; Caryophanales; Paenibacillaceae.